AUUGAACGCUGGCGGCAUGCCUUACACAUGCAAGUCGAACGGCAGCACGGGGGCAACCCUGGUGGCGAGUGGCGAACGGGUGAGUAAUACAUCGGAACGUGCCCAGUCGUGGGGGAUAACGUAGCGAAGGUUACGCUAAUACCGCAUACGAUCACUGGAUGAAAGCGGGGGACCGCAAGGCCUCGCGCGAGUGGAGCGGCCGAUGGCAGAUUAGGUAGUUGGUGGGGUAAAAGCUUACCAAGCCUCCGAUCUGUAGCUGGUCUGAGAGGACGAUCAGCCACACUGGGACUGAGACACGGCCCAGACUCCUACGGGAGGCAGCAGUGGGGAAUUUUGGACAAUGGGCGAAAGCCUGAUCCAGCAAUGCCGCGUGCAGGACGAAGGCCUUCGAGUUGUAAACUGCUUUUGUACGGAGCGAAACGGCUUCCACUAAUACUGGGGGCUAAUGACGGUACCGUAAGAAUAAGCACCGGCUAACUACGUGCCAGCAGCCGCCGUAA
RNAcentral lists this ribosomal RNA (500 nucleotides) under uncultured bacterium. RNAcentral describes it as "partial 16S ribosomal RNA". It matches the Rfam family "Bacterial small subunit ribosomal RNA", at positions 29 to 523 of the family's 1533-position model. The record is from RNAcentral.